CAAUAGCGUAUAUUAAAGUUGUUGCAGUUAAAAGGCUCGUAGUUGGAUUUGUGGCUGUCACGGGCGGCCUAUCACUUAGUGUUAGUGCUUGCCUGUGUCGCCAUCCUUGGGUGGAGCCCGUGUGGCAUUAGGUUGUCGUGCGGGGGAUGCCCAUCGUUUACUGUGAGAAAAUUAGAGUGUUCAAAGCAGGCUUAUGCCAUUGAAUAUGUUAGCAUGGAAUAAUAAGAUAGGACCUCGGUACUAUUUUGUUGGUUUGCGCACCGAGGUAAUGAUUAAUAGGGACAGUUGGGGGUAUUCGUAUUUCAUUGUCAGAGGUGAAAUUCUUGGAUUUCUGAAAGACGAACUACUGCGAAAGCAUUUACCAAGGAUGUUUUCAUUAA
RNAcentral lists this ribosomal RNA (380 nucleotides) under uncultured eukaryote. RNAcentral describes it as "partial 18S ribosomal RNA". It matches the Rfam family "Eukaryotic small subunit ribosomal RNA", at positions 592 to 976 of the family's 1831-position model. The record is from RNAcentral.